Suricata suricatta (meerkat) is the source of this 979-nucleotide long non-coding RNA. RefSeq lists it as uncharacterized. The transcript has 2 exons. Lineage: Eukaryota; Metazoa; Chordata; Mammalia; Carnivora; Herpestidae. The record is from RefSeq and is a predicted model, not a curated record.
AGGAGGCACUGGUUGAUUUUAUGGGCAGCCUGCCAUGAUAAAAUGUCAAGAGAUGCAGCGAAGUUAUUAUACACCGGAAAUGAGGGGAAGGAGAUACUAUUGAACCAAACAGCGCCAGGAAACUGGGACGAUAAAGGAAAUAUCAAACAAAUUCAAGUGUCUCGGCCAUCAUCAAAAGAUCGACAGUAGUAGACGGGUGAUUUGGCCAUGUAUGUACUCCAGGGAAAGUGAGAAAGUGAGAGAAGCUAUAUUAACUUGUCAAAGAACCCCUCAUUUAAGAAUAAGAAGAACCUUCAGACUAUUAGCCUGAGUUCUUUUUAAAAAAAGACUGCUGGGACUUUAGAAACAAUUAAGCAAGAUGAAAUGUAAAUAUGAGAAAACGUACUGCGUUAAUUAAAUGCCAGGGAUAGGAGGGAGUCACCUGAAAGGGUUACACGGACGGUGAGCUUGCCUCUCCAACAUCAAAUCCCGGCUUUGUCUCUUACCAGCUGGGUGACAUCAGUUGAGGAACAAUCAGGGAUCUGCUUUUCCUCCAAGGAGUGUCUGAAAGAGCAAGAACACACUGGAGGGGACAGGCUUCCAGCGCAGGAAGGGGAGCGCGUUCAUUCAGCACCGAGAGCACUCACUAAGGGACAGCCACAUUUAAUAAAAGACAAGACAAAGCAGGGGGACAGACCUGGUGGGAGGUCCAGUCCUCUCCCUAAAACCCAGGAAAGGUCCAUUCCUGUGGCUUCCAGAGGUUCUGCAAGGGUUCAAGACAGCACAGAAAGAUAAUCAAGGUGGACACAAAAGAAGAAAGAACAAGCAGGAACAUUAAACGAAGAACAUGAAGCAAAGAACGAGGCUAAGACAGAAGGGAGCCCCGACGGCCUGUGUACCUGUUUCCUGUACUUGCAGGAGGAUUUCCAAUUUGACCCAGCUUUCCAGCAGCCACACAAAAUCUAGUCCACUGCAUACUCAUAAAAUGACAACAAAAUAA